Molecule: ribosomal RNA, 497 nt
Filed under: uncultured bacterium
Lineage: Bacteria
Description: partial 16S ribosomal RNA
Rfam family: Bacterial small subunit ribosomal RNA
Source: RNAcentral
GAUGAACGCUGGCGGCGUGCCUAAUACAUGCAAGUCGAGCGAACGGACGCGAAUCUUGCUUUUCUGAUGUUAGCGGCGGACGUGUGAGUAACACGUGGAUCACCUCCCUAUCAGACUGGGAUAACUUCGGGAAACCGGAGCUAACCCCGUAUAAUAUCUUGAUCCGCAUGGUUCAUAGGUGAAAUACGGCCUUUCUGUCACUUCUCGAUGGAUCCGCGCUGCAUUAGCUAGUUGGUACGGUAACGGCUUACCAAGGCAACGAUGCAUAGCCGAACUGAGAGGGUGAUAGGCGGCACUGGAGCGUGGACACGGACCAGAGGCCUAAGGGAGGGAGCAGUAGGGAAUGGGCCGCAGUAGGCGAAAGCAUGACAGAGCAACGCGACGUGAGUGAUAAAGGUCUUCGGAUCGGAAAAAUCUGUUAUUAGGGGAGAACAGAUGUGUAAGUAAAUGUGGACAGCGUGACGGUACCGAAUCAAAAAGCAACGGCUAACUACGUG